RNAcentral lists this transfer RNA (76 nucleotides) under Verrucomicrobiaceae bacterium. RNAcentral describes it as "tRNA-Phe". It matches the Rfam family "tRNA". From Rfam's summary of the family: Transfer RNA (tRNA) molecules are approximately 80 nucleotides in length. Their secondary structure includes four short double-helical elements and three loops (D, anti-codon, and T loops). Further hydrogen bonds mediate the characteristic L-shaped molecular structure. tRNAs have two regions of fundamental functional importance: the anti-codon, which is responsible for specific mRNA codon recognition, and the 3' end, to which the tRNAs corresponding amino acid is attached (by aminoacyl-tRNA synthetases). tRNAs cope with the degeneracy of the genetic code in two manners: having more than one tRNA (with a specific anti-codon) for a particular amino acid; and 'wobble' base-pairing, i.e. permitting non-standard base-pairing at the 3rd anti-codon position. RNAcentral also lists the same sequence under 4 other names. The record is from RNAcentral. Lineage: Bacteria; Pseudomonadati; Verrucomicrobiota; Verrucomicrobiia; Verrucomicrobiales; Verrucomicrobiaceae.
GGCUCCAUAGCUCAGUUGGUAGAGCAGAGGAUUGAAAAUCCUUGUGUCCCUGGUUCGAACCCGGGUGGAGCCACCA